Molecule: ribosomal RNA, 2276 nt
Filed under: Escherichia coli
Lineage: Bacteria; Pseudomonadati; Pseudomonadota; Gammaproteobacteria; Enterobacterales; Enterobacteriaceae
Description: partial 23S ribosomal RNA
Rfam family: Bacterial large subunit ribosomal RNA
Source: RNAcentral
AUCUGUGUGACUGCGUACCUUUUGUAUAAUGGGUCAGCGACUUAUAUUCUGUAGCAAGGUUAACCGAAUAGGGGAGCCGAAGGGAAACCGAGUCUUAACUGGGCGUUAAGUUGCAGGGUAUAGACCCGAAACCCGGUGAUCUAGCCAUGGGCAGGUUGAAGGUUGGGUAACACUAACUGGAGGACCGAACCGACUAAUGUUGAAAAAUUAGCGGAUGACUUGUGGCUGGGGGUGAAAGGCCAAUCAAACCGGGAGAUAGCUGGUUCUCCCCGAAAGCUAUUUAGGUAGCGCCUCGUGAAUUCAUCUCCGGGGGUAGAGCACUGUUUCGGCAAGGGGGUCAUCCCGACUUACCAACCCGAUGCAAACUGCGAAUACCGGAGAAUGUUAUCACGGGAGACACACGGCGGGUGCUAACGUCCGUCGUGAAGAGGGAAACAACCCAGACCGCCAGCUAAGGUCCCAAAGUCAUGGUUAAGUGGGAAACGAUGUGGGAAGGCCCAGACAGCCAGGAUGUUGGCUUAGAAGCAGCCAUCAUUUAAAGAAAGCGUAAUAGCUCACUGGUCGAGUCGGCCUGCGCGGAAGAUGUAACGGGGCUAAACCAUGCACCGAAGCUGCGGCAGCGACGCUGAUGCGUUGUUGGGUAGGGGAGCGUUCUGUAAGCCUGUGAAGGUGUGCUGUGAGGCAUGCUGGAGGUAUCAGAAGUGCGAAUGCUGACAUAAGUAACGAUAAAGCGGGUGAAAAGCCCGCUCGCCGGAAGACCAAGGGUUCCUGUCCAACGUUAAUCGGGGCAGGGUGAGUCGACCCCUAAGGCGAGGCCGAAAGGCGUAGUCGAUGGGAAACAGGUUAAUAUUCCUGUACUUGGUGUUACUGCGAAGGGGGGACGGAGAAGGCUAUGUUGGCCGGGCGACGGUUGUCCCGGUUUAAGCGUGUAGGCUGGUUUUCCAGGCAAAUCCGGAAAACUAAGGCUGAGGCGUGAUGACGAGGCACUACGGUGCUGAAGCAACAAAUGCCCUGCUUCCAGGAAAAGCCUCUAAGCAUCAGGUAACAUCAAAUCGUACCCCAAACCGACACAGGUGGUCAGGUAGAGAAUACCAAGGCGCUUGAGAGAACUCGGGUGAAGGAACUAGGCAAAAUGGUGCCGUAACUUCGGGAGAAGGCACGCUGAUAUGUAGGUGAAGUCCCUCGCGGAUGGAGCUGAAAUCAGUCGAAGAUACCAGCUGGCUGCAACUGUUUAUUAAAAACACAGCACUGUGCAAACACGAAAGUGGACGUAUACGGUGUGACGCCUGCCCGGUGCCGGAAGGUUAAUUGAUGGGGUCAGCGCAAGCGAAGCUCUUGAUCGAAGCCCCGGUAAACGGCGGCCGUAACUAUAACGGUCCUAAGGUAGCGAAAUUCCUUGUCGGGUAAGUUCCGACCUGCACGAAUGGCGUAAUGAUGGCCAGGCUGUCUCCACCCGAGACUCAGUGAAAUUGAACUCGCUGUGAAGAUGCAGUGUACCCGCGGCAAGACGGAAAGACCCCGUGAACCUUUACUAUAGCUUGACACUGAACAUUGAGCCUUGAUGUGUAGGAUAGGUGGGAGGCUUUGAAGUGUGGACGCCAGUCUGCAUGGAGCCGACCUUGAAAUACCACCCUUUAAUGUUUGAUGUUCUAACGUUGACCCGUAAUCCGGGUUGCGGACAGUGUCUGGUGGGUAGUUUGACUGGGGCGGUCUCCUCCUAAAGAGUAACGGAGGAGCACGAAGGUUGGCUAAUCCUGGUCGGACAUCAGGAGGUUAGUGCAAUGGCAUAAGCCAGCUUGACUGCGAGCGUGACGGCGCGAGCAGGUGCGAAAGCAGGUCAUAGUGAUCCGGUGGUUCUGAAUGGAAGGGCCAUCGCUCAACGGAUAAAAGGUACUCCGGGGAUAACAGGCUGAUACCGCCCAAGAGUUCAUAUCGACGGCGGUGUUUGGCACCUCGAUGUCGGCUCAUCACAUCCUGGGGCUGAAGUAGGUCCCAAGGGUAUGGCUGUUCGCCAUUUAAAGUGGUACGCGAGCUGGGUUUAGAACGUCGUGAGACAGUUCGGUCCCUAUCUGCCGUGGGCGCUGGAGAACUGAGGGGGGCUGCUCCUAGUACGAGAGGACCGGAGUGGACGCAUCACUGGUGUUCGGGUUGUCAUGCCAAUGGCACUGCCCGGUAGCUAAAUGCGGAAGAGAUAAGUGCUGAAAGCAUCUAAGCACGAAACUUGCCCCGAGAUGAGUUCUCCCUGACUCCUUGAGAGUCCUGAAGGAACGUUGAAG